GGUUUUCCUGAGUACCAAGUUUUGCUGGAUGAAAUCUUUGCCCCUGUACUCAGUGGGUGAUAGCCCUGCUGUUAUAUGGCUCCCUUGGGAGCUAAUGGCACCCAGACGAAGAGGAUGAUACACCCUGUAAACAAUUCAGCUACUGGGGCAGGGAGACUUCCCUGUGUGGUGAAGUGGGUGUUAUGGCAGGUCACUGCAGUGACGGGAAUUUUAGAAGCUAAGAAGCUGUGGCAUGAAAUACUGUAGACAAAAAUGUGAGCUGGGGAUUUGACAUGGAGAAUAAAUAGUUGCCAGGUUUCUCAAAUUGUACGGGCUUUUUUCAGUUUUUUUUUUUUUUUUUUUUUUUUGUAGCAUUUGGCUCCAUCUUUAUGAGAUGGUGCUGGUGCAAUUUAGCCAUUUAUUUUUAUUGUCUGCUCUAGAAGUAGAUUAUCCGAAUUCAUUUGCUUAAAUGAUUUUUGGUUUGGAGCUUAAUUUACUUAACAUUAGUUGGGUGCUUGAGUCCACCCUCUGAAACUGUUACGUCGUUUUCCUCUCCUGUAAUUGGGUUGUCCGUGAAUUGUCAGAUACAAAGAGAGAGGUUAGUUAUUACUGGAAGAAGAUGACUCAAAGCAUUUCAGCAGCAGACAAUGAAAGCUCUGUUUCGUAAUGGGAAUAGAAUAAAGUUGCUUUUAAGGCUCCAAUCCGUUUCAAAUAGGACAUAUGAAAUGUUCUUUUGUAGUGUAAAAACCUAUUCAGGGAGAAGAAUUCACACUUGCAGGAGCUUUUAAUCAGCUCUUUGUGGGUACAUUUCACAUUUAAGAGGUUCGAGAGAGCACAUGUGAAACAACUGGUGUGUAUUGCAUGUGAUUUAUCAUUAUUCAUCGAACAUGUCAGGGGGUUUGGCAUCCACAUGGUGCAGGGACCGUGGAGCCACUCCCUGGCGUUAGUCAAAUGGCAGCGUGUUAAGUGGGAUUUAUUUCAAAGAAAAAAAAAAAAAAAGUGAAAUUGUUAACUUAGAAUUCCGUGUCUUGACUGUGGCCUUCUCAUUUGCUGUAAAUUAGCAUUGCCUUUCCCUGAGAAUUUCAAGAAAAGCGCAGAUGAAAUGGUGCUUCUGUCAGCCAUGUUGUGUCCCCUCACUGCUCUCCAGCUUCUCUCUGUUGUUACAAUCCCGUGUUUUACUUCAUGAGAUCUUCUAUUUCAGUUAUACCACAGGAGGCCCCGCACAUUUAAACAACUUGGCUGUCAGCGCCAGGGGCUGCGGGAGCACCUGGGGGACCAGGGGGCCGCCGACCGGCCUGUGCCGCGGCCAGCCGGGUCUGGCGCCCGCGGAAAUCCAGUCAGGAGGAGGGGCGGUGGCCAUGAGGGGACACGAGGCACCGGAGGGGACACAAGCUGGAAGCGUGGAACGUGCCGCUGCUGGAGCCGGAGCUGGAGGCCCGCCGCGGAGAGGUGAAGGUAGCUCCCAGGCGAGGUCACAAUACACAGAAACUGGAGUCAACCAGGAGCCAAGAGGGUGGCAGGAUUUGAGGAGCUUGUUGUUUUGUCUGUGUCAGCAGACUAAAAACUGAACAAAACAUCAAAGUAACCAUUUCCCGUGAGCCUUCCCAUCCUGAAGAACCAAGGCAGGGGAAAGCAGCCAAAUGUACCAUGGUGCAAAUAAGAAUCCAGUAAAUUCCUUUCAUGUUAACUAUGUGUUACUUCAGUGUUUUCUUGGAGGAAGGCAAAUGUAUGAAUCGUCACCCCAGAAAGUCUCCACAACACCCUCUGUCUUCCCAGAAAAUAAUCAAGAUGAAUUGCGCUGAAGUGUUACUGAAUCUGAGAAAAUAUUCAGAUUCAGGAAGGUUUGUUUCAAGGAAGAUGAUGCUCCUGAUCUUCCUCCUCUUCAUAUGCCAGGUAAGAUUUCAGGACAGCAGUCUUUGAUGAGAUCCUGAAAAUAUCACACAAGGAAGUGAUGCGAGAGUAUGCUGAUUUCUUCUUGACAUAACACUGAGGAGUAUCAUCACAUCUGUUGGAGAAUGGAAACUAGUGAGAAAGGACAGCUUGGGGUGUUUCAAAACAGCCUUAAGGACCUCGCUCUGAAGUUUGCUGUCUACAUCAGAGAUGUUUGAGAAAGCCACUGAAAUCAUGAAGAGAAAAUUAAUCUAUUAGUUUUCUAAAGAGAUGCCAGAAUAAUUUUGCUAUGUGAAGAUGAACUCCUGAAAUGGGAACCGAUUUGGAGAAUUUAUCUGACAGAAGCAAUAGGACUUCAGCUUGAGGACCUAGACCAGCCCAAAUGAAGCAGUACGGCAUGGAUGGGACUGGCAUCAUUGGCACCUGGAGUCUUCUGCACUUCACAAAGUUACGCAUCCUCUUCUGCAUUUCUCCAAGUACAGAAAACUGGCAACCCGCGUGUCUCUUCGUGUCCUGCAGAGCAAUUAAAGGACAGCCAGCAUUUUCCUCUGUGUGCAGCCAGCCACAUGGUUUCAUUCACUGAAGUAGCUGAUGGUGAGAUUAGGCAAAUACUUUGACUUUGCCCCUGGCUUUUGUGGUUGCCAUACCUCUGAAGACGCCAUUCACCUCUAAUUACACGUCUGUUGAAAUCAUGCAGAGAAGGAACAGUGGUGAGCCAGCAGAAGAGGUGAGGUGAGCGCCGAUACCCAAGACCGAUGAGCCCAGGCAGCCACAGCGUCCUCGGUGCUCACGGCCACUGGCCCAGCUGAACAGCUAAGCAAUACACCACCAAGAGCGCCUGCCACCCAGCGCAGGAGGUAUUCAUGCAUGCUCAAGCUACUGAUGAGCAGAGGUUGGAUGGAACGCCCCAGAAGCAGUGAAUGUGGGAAUAAAAGGAAAUUUAGCCAUGAGCCAAUGUGCAUCCCACGGACUGUUUUCCAUUCACUCCAGAAUACUCCUUCCUCUUGUCUGAUUAAGUGACAUCAGGAGCUUUUGUCAAACAGGGAAGGCAGAAAGGCAGACAUUGCUGAUGUCAAAGAGCACUAUCCCAGAACCAAGCCUCCAGCACUAUUUGGAAACAAAAGAAUGAUAGGCCAGGAGUUCUUGCUAUAAAGUUAGACUCUGAGGCCAUGGCAAAGGACUAAGUCCCAGUAAAGAGGAGGCGGUUCGAAAAAGUGUGAGUCUUACCUAGUGAAUAAGGGUAAAAUCUACAUAGCAAUUCAAGUAGGAGAUUUAUAUCUGGUUUUCUUUAGUGGGUUUGAACAUGUACCUGACUGAAACAGCUUUCAUCAGUAGUGUAUUAUUUGGAGUUCUUGGUACCAUUGAAUUACAAUGAAAUGCUAUUUACACCUAGUUUAUCUAUAGUAAAUGUAAUACAUCAAACCAAAUGAGAGGUAAGAGAGACUUGCGCUAAAUGAAUGCAGUUCGUUAUUUAGCCACAUCUAACAAACUGAAUACAGGAAGCAGGAGCUGAGUUUGGCACCUGACCUGUUUUGGCAUCUUUUGCCCACGGAGCACUCUUUGUGGGAAAGGACAAGGAGCAACAGCCCUGUGAGCCUUCAGAAACACCCAACGAAGCUCCUGCAUGGCCACAUUUUCUUGACAGGCUGUUUCAAGUGCUCUUUAGAGUUACUUGAUCUGGUCCUCCAAAUCCUAUUCACAUCACUUCUCUUUACUGCUCUCAGAGUGGAAUUCAUCACAGGCUAUUUUAUCUUGGUGAGCGCUGAGCAUGCACAUGGAUUUGAGUCCAUGCAGUGCAUCUACAAAUAGCCAGGAUGCUGUACAAGGUCUGUGGCCUUGCUUAUCAGAGUAAAGUAGCAGAGGGCUGAACUUCAGCUAGGCCAAGGAGAUCCUGAAGCAUUGCACCCCAGGCAACUGCAAGUCGCAGUAUGCAAGAGGCAAGACAUGCUCUUGCUUGUCACGGGUCGGGGAAGGGUUCUGUUGAAGAUGGUUUGCAGAUACGUGUUGAAAGGCCUCUUUGAUAUAAGUGGAUAGCCCAAGUAUGGCAAGAAUGGUUCGUGUGAUAACAUUUGAACAGGACACCUUUGUUGCACAGUACAAUAGCGAUGCUAGAGAAAAGCAGCUCAGGUUAGCAGCUCCUGUGCUGAGUGUAAGGGAAACAGCAAAGAGUAAUCUUCACCUGCCGAGGUAAAUACUUGUCACUGCCCCUGAAAAAAGCAAUUACGGAAGAUCAGAAGUAAGCCAGUGAGAGAAUGAGCAGGAGAAAUGGUGUCUGUCAUUGGUUUCCAGUGUGCUUAGGGAAGUGGGAAUGGGGGAGCACAGUCUAAGCAAUGAAGAUGGUUACACUACGGGAUAUAUACGCUUUACUUGUUCUUCUUACCUACUGGAAAUGAUCCGAGGCAAAGACUGGCCAACAGCUCAUGAAGAGGGAGCAGGAAGAGUGUCAUAUGUACCAAGGCGCUCACUACAAGUGUGAAUACUUGGACAAUUAAAUAAUGCUGAAUAAUGUCCUUCAAACAUGCACAACUUCAAGAAGAUAGGCAAAGGCCUCAAAUGUUUUGGGAAGUGACUGUGUGCAAAUGUAAUUUUCACUUUUUUCUAUUGCACAAAUUAAAAAAACAUGUUGCCCACCAGAAAAGGGCCCGAGUUUUCCUACAGUAGAAAUCAAAAAGCAACUUUGCUAAAUGCAUUGGUAUAACCUAAAGAGGUCUGAAUACACUUUUACUUACUAAACUAUACCUGCACA
Cygnus olor (mute swan) is the source of this 4615-nucleotide long non-coding RNA. RefSeq lists it as uncharacterized. NCBI's taxonomy places the organism in Eukaryota, Metazoa, Chordata, Aves, Anseriformes, Anatidae. The record is from RefSeq and is a predicted model, not a curated record. The transcript has 12 exons.